Molecule: ribosomal RNA, 465 nt
Filed under: Vreelandella stevensii
Lineage: Bacteria; Pseudomonadati; Pseudomonadota; Gammaproteobacteria; Oceanospirillales; Halomonadaceae
Description: partial 16S ribosomal RNA
Rfam family: Bacterial small subunit ribosomal RNA
Source: RNAcentral
CCUACGGGAGGCUGCAGUGGGGAAUAUUGGACAAUGGGGGGAACCCUGAUCCAGCCAUGCCGCGUGUGUGAAGAAGGCCCUCGGGUUGUAAAGCACUUUCAGUGAGGAAGAACGCCUGGUGGUUAAUACCCAUCAGGAAAGACAUCACUCACAGAAGAAGCACCGGCUAACUCCGUGCCAGCAGCCGCGGUAAUACGGAGGGUGCGAGCGUUAAUCGGAAUUACUGGGCGUAAAGCGCGCGUAGGUGGCUUGAUAAGCCGGUUGUGAAAGCCCCGGGCUCAACCUGGGAACGGCAUCCGGAACUGUCAAGCUAGAGUGCAGGAGAGGAAGGUAAAAUUCCCGGUGUAGCGGUGAAAUGCGUAGAGAUCGGGAGGAAUACCAGUGGCGAAGGCGGCCUUCUGGACUGACACUGACACUGAGGUGCGAAAGCGUGGGUAGAAAACAGGAUUAGAUACCCGUGUAGUC